This 498-nucleotide ribosomal RNA is filed under the name uncultured bacterium. RNAcentral describes it as "partial 16S ribosomal RNA". It matches the Rfam family "Bacterial small subunit ribosomal RNA", at positions 30 to 523 of the family's 1533-position model. The record is from RNAcentral.
AUUGAACGCUGGCGGCAUGCCUUACACAUGCAAGUCGAACGGUAACAGGUCUUCGGAUGCUGACGAGUGGCGAACGGGUGAGUAAUACAUCGGAACGCGCCUAGUAGUGGGGGAUAACUACUCGAAAGAGUGGCUAAUACCGCAUGAGAUCUACGGAUGAAAGCAGGGGAUCGCAAGACCUUGUGCUACUAGAGCGGCCGAUGGCAGAUUAGGUAGUUGGUGGGAUAAAAGCUUACCAAGCCGACGAUCUGUAGCUGGUCUGAGAGGACGAUCAGCCACACUGGGACUGAGACACGGCCCAGACUCCUACGGGCGGCAGCAGUGGGGAAUGUUGGACAAUGGGCGAAAGCCUGAUCCAGCAAUGCCGCGUGCAGGAUGAAGGCCUUCGGGUUGUAAACUGCUUUUGUACGGAACGAAAAGCCCCGGGUUAAUACCCUGGGGUCAUGACGGUACCGUAAGAAUAAGCACCGGCUAACUACGUGCCAGCCGCCGCGGUAA